Molecule: ribosomal RNA, 256 nt
Filed under: uncultured bacterium
Lineage: Bacteria
Description: partial 16S ribosomal RNA
Rfam family: Bacterial small subunit ribosomal RNA
Source: RNAcentral
GACGUAGGUGGCGAACGUUAUCCGGAAUCAUUGGGCGUAAAGGGGCGGUGGAGGGCUUGUUAAGUUAUUAGGGGGAAAUCGAGGCUCAACCUCGUGGAAGCUAGUAAUACUGUUUUGCUUGAGUACAGAAGAGGUUAACGGAACUCCAUGUGGAGCGGUAAAAUGCGUAGAUAUAUGGAAGAACACCAAUAACGGCGAAGGCAGUUAACUAUUCUGUUACUGACAUUGAGGCACGAAAGCGUGGGGAGCAAAACGG